GAGUUUGAUCUUGGCUCAGGACGAACGCUGACGGCGUGCCUAACACAUGCAAGUCAAGGGUAGUUUACUACACUGGCGCACGGGUGAGUAACGCGUAGAUUACCUGCCCCUAUCCCUGUGAUAACUUCGGGAAACCGGUGCUAAACACAGAUGAGGCCUACGGGUCAAAAGUAAUGGAUUGGGAUGGGUCUGCGUCUGAUUAGCUAGUUGGUAAGGUAAUGGCUUACCAAGGCAUCGAUCAGUAACGGGUCUGAGAGGAUGAUCCGUCACACUGGAACUGAGACACGGUCCAGACUCCUACGGGAGGCAGCAGUGAGGAAUUUUGGUCAAUGGGGGAAACCCUGAACCAGCGACGCCGUGUGUGGGAUGAAGGUGCUCUGCAUUGUAAACCACUGUCAGAUGGGAAAAAAAGCUUCUUUGAGAGGCUGGGAUUGUACCAUCAGAGGAAGGACCGGCUAACUACGUGCCAGCAGCCGCGGUAAUACGUAGGGUCCGAGCGUUAUCCGGAUUUACUGGGCAUAAAGGGUCCGCAGGCGGUCUCAUACGUCAAAGGUUAAAGACCUCGGCCCAACCGAGGAGAUGCCUUUGAAACGGUAAGACUUGAAUAUGAGAGAGGUAAGUAGAAUUCCUGGUGUAGCGGUGAAAUGCGUAGAUAUCAGGAGGAAUACCAGUGGCGAAGGCGGCUUACUGGCUCAUUAUUGACGCUCAGGGACGAAAGCGUGGGGAGCGAACAGGAUUAGAUACCCUGGUAGUCCACGCCCUAAACGAUGUAUGCUUGGUGUUUGUGCUACGCACGAGUGCCGGAGGAAAUCCGUUAAGCAUACCGCCUGGGGAGUACGAUCGCAAGGUUGAAACUCAAAGGAAUUGACGGGGGCCCGCACAAGCGGUGGAUUAUGUGGUUUAAUUCGAUGCAACGCGAAGAACCUUACCUGGGCUUGAAGUGCAGUAGACAGUUUGUGAAAGCAAAUCUUCCUUCGGGACUGCUGCAGAGGUGCUGCAUGGUUGUCGUCAGCUCGUGCCGUGAGGUGUUGGGUUAAGUCCCGCAACGAGCGCAACCCCUAUCUUUAGUUGCCAGCACGUAAUGGUGGGAACUCUAAAGAGACUGCCCGCGUAAGCGGAGAGGAAGGUGGGGACGACGUCAAGUCAUCAUGGCCCUUAUGUCCAGGGCUACACACGUGAUACAAUGGCAUACACAAAGGGCGAAGCCGCAAGGUGGAGGAAAUCCAUAAAGUAUGUCUCAGUUCGGAUUGAAGUCUGCAACUCGACUUCAUGAAGUUGGAAUCGCUAGUAAUCGUAGAUCAGCUCGCUACGGUGAAUACGUUCCCGGGCCUUGUACACACCGCCCGUCAAGCCAUGGAAGUCGGAGGCGCCCGAAGCGGACUCGCGUUCGUUAAGGCAAACUUGGUAACUGGGGCUAAGUCGUAACAAGGUAGCCGUA
Molecule: ribosomal RNA, 1438 nt
Filed under: uncultured prokaryote
Description: partial 16S ribosomal RNA
Rfam family: Bacterial small subunit ribosomal RNA
Source: RNAcentral